Molecule: RNA transcript, 6799 nt
Organism: Sitodiplosis mosellana (orange wheat blossom midge)
Lineage: Eukaryota; Metazoa; Arthropoda; Insecta; Diptera; Cecidomyiidae
Gene name: neuroglian
Exons: 9
Source: RefSeq, a predicted model, not a curated record
AUUCACUUGGGAAACACAUAAAAAGUUCGUAAAAUAUGAAAAAAUGAAAAAAAAAACUCAGACUCUGUUUUCACUCUCUCCAAGAAUCACAGUGAAUUAGUCAUUGGAUGACAAAUAAAAACAAAUAUCCAAAGUUAUAAACAAUUCGUUGUGGUUUUAAAAAUAUCAUAUACAGUUCUGAAAAUAGGGUUCACCCAUUAAAAUGACGUCAUAUUACAAAAAUUUGUAUUUGGAACGAAUAUUAUACGUAGACAUUCAUCGGAUUUUUUUUUAUUCCGAUGUCGUGUUGUCAGCAGAAUGAAAUUUUGAACGGUUAUCACCAGAGAAAAGAAGUAAAUAAAAGAAAAUACCAUAAACAACGACGAACUGCGAAUUAAGGUGGUGUUUAUGUAAUCAAUUGAAAAAUGUUAUCAACAAUAUAAGGACGAAUUAAUAAGUGCAGAUAUAAAAAGAGCGGACAGAUUAUGAUAUCGCGUUGAAUUAUUCGUUGGCAAAAUAGUCAAAAUAAGAAAUUUUCUGACAACAGUCGACGAGAAGUGGCGGAAUUGUUGUUUUCAUUCGAGAGAGAAAGUGUUAACCGCAUCGAACGAAAGCCGAAUCGAUCUGAUUGUACGACAUCGUGUGCAGAUAAAAUAUAAAUGUUAAAAACAAAACGGUGAAAAUAUUGGAUGUUCCAAUAAUUCAAUCACAAGAAGAAAAAAAAAACAAGAUAUAGCUAGUGGAAGUGAACACUAAAUUGAACAAAUUGAAAACUAAAUGUGCAUUUAAAAUGUGGCGAAUAAAUUUACAAGCAUUUACAGUCGUACUGAUUGCUGUACUUCAAGUACAAGCAUUGGUUCAUUCGCCUCCCAGAAUAAUUAAACAGCCGCCAACCGACGAGUUACUGUAUCAAGUGGCUCAGCAACAGAACGAAAACGACAAACCAUUUUUGAUUGAAUGCGAAGCCGAAGGAGAACCGGCACCAAAAUACCGAUGGAUAAAGAACGGCAAAAAAUUCGAUUGGCAAGCAUAUGAUGAUCGUAUGUCACAGCAGCCGGGUCGUGGUACGAUUGUCAUAACCCGUCCACGAGAUGAAGAUUUGGGUCAAUAUCAAUGUUUUGCUGAGAACGAACAUGGUACCGCCACAUCGAAUUCCGUAUUCGUGCGCAAAGCCGAACUCAAUACCUUCAAAGAUGAACAACCAAAAACGGUCACGGCCAACGAAGGUGAUCCAUUUAAAUUGCAAUGUCAACCGCCCGAUGGUUGGCCCAAGCCCAAUGUAUAUUGGUUGAUCCAAAAUACAGAUGGUGGCAUUAAGAGUAUCAAUAAUUCCCGCAUGACACUUGAUCCCGAAGGAAAUUUGCAUUUCUCAAAUGUGACACGUUACGAUGCAUCCGAUGACUUUUACUAUGCUUGUGCAGCUACCUCAGUAUUUCGUAAUGAAUAUAAAUUGGGUAAUCGAAUUCUUUUGGAUGUCGUACAAACGGGUAUUUCGCCAACACAAAAUCGAUACCAACCAACGUUGCAAUAUGUUACUCGUAAAAAUGAGGUAGCGUUACGUGGUAAAAAGGUGGAAUUGUAUUGCAUAUACGGUGGGACACCGUUGCCGCAAACCGUAUGGAGCAAAGACGGGAAAUCGAUACAUUGGAACGAUCGAAUAACGCAGGGCAACUAUGGAAAAUCGUUGAUUAUUCGGCAUGCAACAUUCGAAGACGCAGGAUCAUACACGUGCGAAGCGUCAAACGGUGUUGGCAAUGCACAAACCUAUUCGAUCAACUUGAAAGUGAAUGCAGUGCCAUACUUUACGGUUGAACCGGAAAUUCAAAAUGCGGCCGAAGACGAAAGUGUUGAGUUCCGUUGCGAAGCAUCUGGUGUACCAGAGCCAGAAAUUAAAUGGAUUUACAAUGGUAAACCGAUCGCAGAAUCUGCAUCAAAUCCACGACGAGUUGUUAAAACCAAUAGCAUUGUCCUCAAAGGCUUGAAGUCAAGCGAUACCGGCAAUUACGGUUGUAACGCAACCAAUUCAUUGGGUUAUGUGUACAAGGAUGUAUACUUAAAUGUUUUGGCUUUGCCACCCGAAAUCACCGAACCACCACGUAAGGAAGCCACCGUUGAUCGUCGUACGGUUACGUUGCGCUGUCGCGUCUUUGGUGCUCCAGCUCCAGAAGUUAAAUGGAUUCGAAAUGGAUUGGAAUUGACUGGUGGUCGGUAUCAAACACAGUCGAAUGGUGAUUUAGUUAUUCAAGAUGUGAGCUUUGCUGAUGCCGGCGAGUACACGUGUCAUGCGCACAAUAAAUUGGGCGAUGCUGAAGCAAGUGGCUCAUUGAUUGUGAAAGAGCACACUAAAAUCACAGACGAACCACAGGAUUAUGAAGUGGCCGCAGGAAAUCCGGCCACAUUCCGUUGUAACGCCGUUGCCGAUUCAUCCUUGGACUUGGACAUCAAGUGGCUUAGCGAUAGUGAGGAGAUUGACUUUGAGAAUGAACCACGUUUCGUUCGCACUAAUGACAACUCGUUGACUAUUUCAAAAACGGCUGAACUUGAUUCGGGUAUUUACACCUGUGUCGCAUCAACUGAAUUGGAUGAAGCACGUGCAUCGGCCACAUUGAUCGUUCAAGACGUUCCGAAUGCACCUCAUUUAACUGGUAUAAGCUGUCGUGCUCGUGAAGCGUACAUCUCAUGGGAACCACUUGGUGACAAUCGUGCUCCAAUUUUGCACUAUACCAUUGAAUACAACACAUCGUUCACGCCAGAAACUUGGAACGUUGCCUAUGACAAAGUUCCCGCCACCGAUUUCACGUACAACGUUCCAAUGAGCCCAUGGGCAAAUUAUACAUUCCGUGUCAUUGCAUUCAAUAAAAUCGGCCCAUCACUGCCAAGCGGACACAGUGAAGCAUGCACAACACAAGCAGAUGUGCCUUUCAAGAAUCCAGACGAUGUCAAAGGCGAAGGCACCACACCAACCAAUAUGGUGAUUUCAUGGACGCACAUGCCACAAAUUGAACACAAUGGCCCCGGUUUUCACUAUCGUGUGUCAUGGAAACGUGAUAUUCCAGCCGAAGAAUUUACCAAUGAAGACAUUUACGAUUGGAAACAGGAUAAACUCGUUAUUCUCGAUCAGCCAACAUUCGUACGGUAUCGCAUAAAAGUGUUGGCCAUCAAUCAGAAUGGUGCAUCGAAUACGGCAGCAAUUGAAAAAUUCGGAUACUCGGGUGAAGAUCGUCCAACGCAAGCACCAACCAAUUUCACUUUGGUUCAGGUGACCGGCAGUACAUCAGCUAUUUUGAGCUGGAACCCAGUACCACCCGAGAGCAUCAAUGGUCAUUUCAAGGGGUACAAAAUACAAACUUGGACUGAACUUGAUGGUGAAGAGAAUAUGCGAGAGAUUCACGUCAAAGGAGAUACCACACAAGCGUUGGUCAGCAAAUUCCGUCCGGAUGCUAUAAACUAUGCGCGUGUUUUAGCAUUCAACAGUCGUUACCAUGGACCAGCUAGUGCAAUUGUUGAUUUCAAAACGCCCGAAGGCGUUCCAAGCAGCGUACAAUCAUUCGAAGCAUUCCCAUUGGGCUCGUCAGCAUUUUUGUUGCGAUGGAAACGACCAUUGCAGCCCAAUGGACAAUUGACCGGUUAUAAAGUCUAUUACGAAGAAGUCUCCGGAACUGCCGUCCUAGAUAAACUGGAACGAGAACCACAUAUUACCGAUCCACGAGUUACACAAGUGAAAUUGGCCGGUUUGAAACCAAACACGAAAUAUCGUCUACAUAUUGUGGGAACAACAAAAGCCGGCGAAGGGGAAGAUUACUUCAUCGAAGAAAAAACAUUGUCCGGAGAUUCUUAUCCGCCAGAUGCGCCAGAUUUCGUGUGGGACCAAUUACCAUCCGAAAAUGGAUUUGCGACGAUCAGAGUGAACUGGCGUCCAAAUGUAAGCGGCAAACCAGGAACACAUUUCUUUGCAAAGUAUCGUAUUAAGGGUGAAUCCGUCUGGUUGAGCACCGAUUAUGAGCUCGACAAUGAUUACACCAUUAUUCGAGGCUUGCAGCCAGACGAAACCUACGAAUUUAUUGUAAUUUCUGUUGAUGGCGAACAUUUGGCGGAGAGUCAAAUUCAAGAUGUUCCCACCGUUGGCAUUGAUGGUCCAAAUAAAGUACCGAGCGAAGAUUUAGCCGCCGCCGGAUGGUUGAUCGGAAUGUUGUUGGCUAUUGCAUUGUUGUUGCUAUUGCUCAUCAUUGUAUGCAUUAUUAAGCGGAACCGUGGUGGCAAAUACGAUGUUUAUGAUCGUGAAUUGGCAAAUGGUCGACGCGACUAUCCAGAAGAGGGUGGCUUCCAUGAAUAUUCACAGCCAUUGGACAAUAAGAGCGCUGGUCGACAGUCGAUUGCAUCGAAUCUUAUGAAAGCCGACGAUGAAGUGGAUGAUGGUGACUCGAUGGCUGCGUAUGGAGAAGGCGAAACAGGCAUGAACGAAGACGGUUCGUUUAUUGGACAGUACGGACGGAAGGGACGAAAUCAAGAAUCAAAUUCACAAGCAUUUGCAACGCUUGUGUAGACGAAAUUUUUUACAAUAUUUUCACACACACUAGUAAAAUAGUUUUCAAAUGACGAUAUAAGAGAAUAUGACAAAACAUUUUUUUUUGUGGUAAACGAGAGAAAGACGAAACAGAAGAAGAAAAUGCGAUAUUUUUUAAUUUGUAAAACAUCUAUAAUUGGUUGCUCCAUUGUCAUUUUUCAACCAAACAAAAAAACAUACCAUCCAAUAUAUUGCACCUCCAAAAUUUGAAGAGUAAUAAGAAUAAAUUCCAAGUGGGCCAAUUUGCUGAGGAUGGCUCAUUUAUUGGUCAAUAUGUGCCGGGAAAAUUACAGCCACCGGUAAGUCCACCAUCAACACAUCAGCUGCAAACCGUAUCAUCGAAGCCACAAUUGCCAAAUGGUAAUGGAAAUAUUGCACCAAAUAGUGGUGCAAUCGCAACAUACGUCUAAAACAAACAUUUAAAAUACGCUUUUCAUCAUUCAAAACGCAACAAGCAUUCACAACAACAACAGACAGACAAAACAAAACAAAAAACACUCGAUGAUAAUGUUAUAGAACAAAAUAUGUUGAAGAAAGAUAAUAAGUUUUCAAAAAAAGAUACGUUAUUAAAACGUGUUCAAUAAUUCAUGACAAAUUUCACAUCAGAUGUUCCUGUUACAUAACAAACAAUACAAAGAAACUGAAACAAGAGAAAACAAACGACUAAAAUGUAAAUGAAUAUCGCAAUAUUUGCUCUCAUCCCAAGAUGUGAUGGAAUAGAAUACACUAUGCAGCUAAAACACAUACGUCUACUUAUUAACCGCUUAACCCCGUUAGUUUCGUUGCACCUAAUCAAAUUUCAAUGCAGCUAAUCUUUUUUGGAACUCGCAACUCUUUUUUUUAUAUUGUAGAAAAAUAUUUUUGUUAUUGCCAACAAUGAAAAGCUAAUAUUAGUAUUAUAAAAGAUGAAUGUAGACCAAUGAAUUGCUUUUUGAAGAAGACGAGAAAAAAAACAGAAACCAAAAUGCACAACACAAUCGGUAUAUAAAGAAAACUGAGAAAACAUUGAGUAGAAAAAAUUAUUGAAUUUUUUGUUUUCUUUUUUUUUUUAAAUUGUAUUUUGCAAUAUAAUUCAAUUAUAUUUUUUUCCUUUUUUUUGAUUUAAUGGGACAAUCGAAUGAGCUGAUAUUUUGAUCAGAAUAAAGAAUCUCUACAUGACAAACAUUUUUUUAGCCUUACAUUUUUGGUUUAAGUUUAACUGUUUUCAAUCUGUCGAAAAUCAAUCAUUUUUUGGCAGCUUAUAGGCCAGCUAUCACUUGUCAAUGAAUAAAUACCAACGUUUCUUUGUUCACGAAAUAGUGACAUUUCUUGUGACGACACGUACAUCACACACUCUUCGUGUCUUAAAAAAAAAUUGUAACGAUACAUCUCGAAUUGUCCAACGCACGGACUGAGCUCGAAGCAUUUCUGUCAUGUUUUGACAAAUCCCAUCAACCAAUUAACGAAUUGAAAAACGAAAACUAUGAAAAUAAUUAUUAUGGAAUCGAGCUUUUAUUACAUUUAAGAAAUAUGUCUUUCUAAUUUGUUUCUGCGUUCUCAUAGAAAUAAAAUGAAAAUUCGUCGGGAUCUACAUCAAAAUGCAUUUCAUCGAGCACAUUACUUCCGCAUCUAAGUUCAGUUCAAUUCGUUUCUUUUUUCAAUCAAUUCUCAGAACUUUCAAUGAAACCGAAUUAUUCUAUAAAUGCCAACCGCGUCUCAGUUCGUCAUCUUUUUUUAUACGUUUUAUUUUAAAUUUUCAUUUUUUUAAGCGUAUACAGAAUUUGAAGAAGAAAAAAAAACAACACAAAUAAACUUUAUUGAAUUUAAAGGCUUAUGUAUGUUAUAAAACACGGAUACAAUUGAAGCGAACUCCAUUUUGAAAUGCAUCGUGAACUUAAAAUUAAGCUGUAAGCAAAUGAAGAAAAUUACAACAUUUUGGCAAAAUCAUUACACGAUUCAUUGAUAAUUUGUCGCACAUUUUGUAUCCAAUUAAUUUCACAUCCCGAUUAUAGCCGCAACGCAAAUCAUGUCCAUCAGAUCAACAAUUCCCUUUUUUUACAAAGACUUUGUAUAAAAUAUGAUAAACUUGUAAAUAGUUUUCAAUUGAACAAAAACAAUCAUUUAGACAUUUUUUUUUCGAAAUUUGAAAUACAUUCAAAAUGAGACAAGUUUUGCUUUUGGUUUUAACACACAAGUGGAAGUGAACGCAAGAAAAUCAGAGAGAAAAAAAUGCAUUUUUUUUUGUUUAAGAAUGGAAAUAAAAUGUAUUUAUUUUAA